GAUGAACGCUGGCGGCGUGCCUAAUACAUGCAAGUCGAGCGAACGGACGAGAAGCUUGCUUCUCUGAUGUUAGCGGCGGACGGGUGAGUAACACGUGGAUAACCUACCUAUAAGACUGGGAUAACUUCGGGAAACCGGAGCUAAUACCGGAUGAUAUUUUGAACCGCAUGGUUCAAAAGUGAAAGACGGUCUUGCUGUCACUUAUAGAUGGAUCCGCGCUGCAUUAGCUAGUUGGUAAGGUAACGGCUUACCAAGGCAACGAUGCAUAGCCGACCUGAGAGGGUGAUCGGCCACACUGGAACUGAGACACGGUCCAGACUCCUACGGGAGGCAGCAGUAGGGAAUCUUCCGCAAUGGGCGAAAGCCUGACGGAGCCACGCCGCGUGAGUGAUGAAGGUCUUCGGAUCGUAAAACUCUGUUAUUAGGGAAGAACAUAUGUGUAAGUAACUGUGCACAUCUUGACGGUACCUAAUCAGAAAGCCACGGCUAACUACGUG
This 497-nucleotide ribosomal RNA is filed under the name uncultured bacterium. Its description in RNAcentral is "partial 16S ribosomal RNA". It matches the Rfam family "Bacterial small subunit ribosomal RNA", at positions 28 to 507 of the family's 1533-position model. The record is from RNAcentral.